Molecule: long non-coding RNA, 206 nt
Filed under: Lathyrus oleraceus (garden pea)
Lineage: Eukaryota; Viridiplantae; Streptophyta; Magnoliopsida; Fabales; Fabaceae
Description: Pisum sativum (pea) long non-coding RNA (PSAT_LNC021342)
Source: RNAcentral
UUUUUUAGAGAUACAACGCAAGUGUCACAUUAUGAUAGUAACAAAUAAAAGGAAACCUUUACGGGUUUAUGAUAAUGAUGUACAUAGGGAAACCUUAUUUAGGAAGGUUCCCUACAUAUAGGGAUAAUGACAGGUAAUGAAACCCAUAUAUGUGUUUAAGGAUAGGUAAGGUAAUAUGCAAGCAUGACCUAGCUAAGGUGGUCUUC